CCGAGUGCGGACCCUCUGGGUCCAACCUCCCACCCGUGUUUAUUGUACCUUGUUGCUUCGGUGGGCGUACGCCCGCCGAAGACACCCUUGAACCCUGCCUGAAGAUUGUAGUCUGAGUGGAAUGAUAAAUUAGUUA
This 136-nucleotide unclassified non-coding RNA is filed under the name uncultured Ascomycota. Its description in RNAcentral is "sequence contains ITS1". The record is from RNAcentral. Lineage: Eukaryota; Fungi; Ascomycota.